RNAcentral lists this RNase P RNA (362 nucleotides) under Acinetobacter qingfengensis. RNAcentral's name for it is "Bacterial RNase P class A". It matches the Rfam family "Bacterial RNase P class A". From Rfam's summary of the family: Ribonuclease P (RNase P) is a ubiquitous endoribonuclease, found in archaea, bacteria and eukarya as well as chloroplasts and mitochondria. Its best characterised activity is the generation of mature 5'-ends of tRNAs by cleaving the 5'-leader elements of precursor-tRNAs. The record is from Rfam by way of RNAcentral. Lineage: Bacteria; Pseudomonadati; Pseudomonadota; Gammaproteobacteria; Moraxellales; Moraxellaceae.
GAAGUGAGCCAGACGGUCGCUGCUAUGAAGGUCUUCGUGACUGAAGUAGGAGAGGAAAGUCCGGGCUUCAAAGGGUAAGGUGCCAGAUAACGUCUGGGCGGCGUGAGCCGACGGCUAGUGCAGCAGAGAGUAGACCGCCUCCCAUUUUUGUGGGCGGUAAGGGUGAAAGGGUGCGGUAAGAGCGCACCGCAUGUCUGGUAACAGUUCAUGGCUUGGUAAACCCCACCUGAAGCAAGACCAAAUAGGGAUCCUGAGGCGUGACCCGCGCUGGAUCCGGGUAGGUUGCUUGAGCAUGUGAGUAAUUGCAUGCCUAGAGGAAUGAUCGUCUUCGACAGAACCCGGCUUAUCGGCUCACUUCACAG